RNAcentral lists this long non-coding RNA (3632 nucleotides) under Capsicum annuum. RNAcentral's name for it is "long non-coding RNA (CANN_LNC021309)". Lineage: Eukaryota; Viridiplantae; Streptophyta; Magnoliopsida; Solanales; Solanaceae. The record is from RNAcentral.
UAAUGGAGCAGAUAAAGAGCAAUAAUAGAGCUGAUAAAGAAGAAUAAUGGAGCAGAUACGACAACGGAAGAUAUUUUGACUUAUUGUGCAAAAUUUCCUUACGAUACAAUAAAGUAAAUCAAGUAAUGCUUUUAUUACUUUUCUUACUUACAUUUAUGACUUUAGAGUAGGGUAGGUUAGGAGGCCACCAUUUUUGACUUUUUUUAGUUUUUAGAAACUAAGAAACAUGUGUAAAUUAAACUUUUUUCGUUCUAUAUAACAAAGGCAGAAGGCAUUGCAAAAAGCAAGCCUUCAUGCGUUGAAGCACCUUUGCUCUCUCCAAUCCACAAAAAAUAUUUUACUCAGUUAAUUAGAUAAACAUAUUCCAAUGGAAAAAGCUAUGGAACAACAAAACUCAGAAAUAACAAAGCUACCCGAACAGGUAUAUCUAUUUAUGAUUAUGAAUAGCUAAUUUCAUAAUUCCCAACAAUCAUGAUAUGAUAAAAUAAAUUCAUAUUAGUUACUUUAUAGUAGAAUUAUUCGAAGAAUAAUAUGUUAAGAAGUUUAUUAACAAAGAGGAAACGGAGAAAUAUCCCUAAGGACUAUGCCAUCCUAAAGGUGAAACCAAUGAGGCAAGAAGCCGUGGCGGGGAGUAACCAGAGUAGAGGCGCUGUUUAAGGGAAAAAGUAUCCGGAUUACCAUGUUAAUAGUGACGGAAGAACAUAUUAUUUAAGAAUAAUCUAGUAUAUAGUAAGCUAAGAUGACUAUAUUUUAUGUACAUGGUUGAAGGGAAUAUUUUGAAAAAAGCAAUUUUAUGAAAAUGAAUGAUAAUAUAUCUGAUGUGAUGGUAGAUAAAUUCAAAAUACUUAUUUUGUAUGCACUUAGAAAUAUAAAAGUAGCAGAUAUAAGAAAAAUCAUAUUAGAAAAAGCUUUUGGUGAAUAUUACAUGACUAGAGUAAAUUAUAUACCAUAUCUACCUAACUACUCUUACACAUAUUUACGAUGAUAAGUUACAUAAAAUUUUUAGAAAAAGAUAUAAAAAAAAAAUAUAUGCAGUUACUAGAAAAACAGAUAAAAAUAAAUUUUGAGAAAUACAUGGAAAAUAAAGAUAUAAAAUUUCUUUAAAAUAUGCAAAAACUACUAAGGCUAAAACAAACAACUACAAAACACUAUAAUAAAACCAAUUUUGAAAGAUAGAUUAUCUAGAUUAUCUCAAAGUUUUAAUUUUAUACAUACUUAAAGAUAUAGAAAUAAUAGAUAUCAAGAAAAUAAUAUUAGAAGAAGUAAUAAACUAUGAAAUUGAAACUGCAAAUUGUCUAGAACAGUUAUACGAAGAAAUUUACCCAGAAGGAUAUUAUUCAGAUUAAAAAAUGUUAGAAUAUAUUAGACAAACUAGAGAAAAUCAAGAAAAUCUAAAUAAUGAAAUUAAUUAUAGAAACCGAAUUAGAAAAAUAAUGGAAGACCUAAAAAAAAAAUUAAUAUGGAUAGAAAAAACCUUAGAAAAUUUAGAUAAAAGUACAUGUGAUAGUUUAUAUAAUUUAAAAAACUCACUACGAGAAGAACAACAUAAGAUAAUAAAUAACAUUGAAAAUCUAGAAUUAGAUAUACAUUAUAGCACAGAUAGGAUAAAUUAUUAUACAGAAAUUUGUAACUCUGCAAUUACUACAGGAUAAAAAUUUUUAAUGAAUAUAUCUUACGAAAAAGGUAAAUUAUUAAAAGGUAUUGAAACAAAAUUUAAAAAAUAUCCACGCACAAAUAAAAAUAGAUUCACUAGAAACCUAUUAAAUCUAUUAUACCUAUUAAAUCCGCACACCCCUGCAAAUAAAUAAAUUUCAUGUGGUUUUCUUUUAUCUAAAGAUGGGAUAUAAAUAUUUUCAACUCUCCUUGAGUGUGUGCUGAAUAGAUAGUUUGGUUUAAACUAUUAUCAUCCCUCUCUUGAAACAUGUUUUGCUCCUAAAAAUACUAGUUUAGGUACUAGUUUACUUAAUUUAAAAUACUAAAAGAGUAUUCGGGUUUCAUACACCCCUUUUAUUGUUUUUUUUUAUAGGGUAAUAGCGAAUCCACGCUUUCGGUUUGGCAAAUACUUCAUCCUAGUUUUGGUUUUCUUUAUUUUUUUCCCAUUUACGUUACGAGAAUUGGAUCACAAAUCAUAUUUUGAUGUCGAAUGAAGUCCCAUUCCUUGGGAGAAAAGGCAUCUAAUAAUAGUCCUCCAGAAAUAAAUCUAUGUCUGCUCCCUUUCUUAUUUUGCUAAGGUCCUUUACUUUGCUGAAGUUGUUUAAAGUAAAAGUAAUGGGAAAUGUAGUCUGAACUCUAAACACAAAUAAGUUAGGUUGUUAAAGCCCAUGAUAGUAAUUUGCCUUUGCAGCAAUCUCCAAUUUUGAUCCCAAAAGUUUUUUUUUUUUUUUUUUUUUUUUUUUUUUUUUAUCUUUUCUUGAAUUUCAUGUUUAAAUCCAUAGGUUUAUAGGCAGGUGUAAUAUUGGGCGAAUUAGUUGUCGAAAUAAGAUACAAAUGAAAUCUGAAAUAUGCCUUACGCGCAAGAAUGAUAUGUUCAACUUAUUUUCACGCAAGAAUAAUGCGUUCAGUUUUGGCUUGCUUCUCGAAUUAUAUUUCAAUUUCAUGUUUGUAUUCUAGUAUCGGGAUCGAGAUUGGAUUUUUCACAAUCCUUUUAGUGUUGAAACGUUAAUAGAGUUGUGACGUAACUUGUGUGUACUAAAGUAUUUAAAUAUUAUAGGUACAAGAUAAUGCUGGAUAAUAGUAAUAAGUUUGGGUUCACAACACAGGAACCAACAUUGAUAUUAUAAUUCAAAAGGUUCUUAUAAUAUUGUUACGUCAUUAUAUCUGGCUUUGGCUCUUCAAAGGGAGCCAUGAGAUGCGUAGGCCUGUAUUCUCUUAAGUACAAAGUUGAUUGAAAUUGAAACAGAUCACCUCAAUUUGGCUCCUAGCAUUAUAUUUGGAGUAUGUUUAAGUCCAAUUAAAUGGAAAGGUGCUUCCUGGUUUACGUUAAUAAGUUUGUUUUCUUUGUUGGAACUAUAAACGAUGUUUGAUGUAAUUUGCUAAUAUCCAUCACUAAUUCAUGUAUAUUUCCUGAUUAUUUCAUAAGUUAUUAAUCUUUAAUUUUUUUUUUUAAACAUGUAAACUCGGGAGUUGGAGUUCCGCAGCGGAACUCGUUUCGACCCAACAUUGGGUCAAUCGCUACUAGGAGCAGAGCUUCGGAGUCGAGCAAAUUAGAAGCCCAUCUCCUAAAUGGAGUCUAGUAUCUCUUAUCUUCUUUGAAAUUAAUUUAUAUUUGUCAUGGUGAGUUUUAGAAUAAUACUAACUCCUGUAAUUGAAUCUUUUUAGACAACUUUACUUAAUUAUUAAAUUUAUGAUAUCUUGUUAUUUAUUGAUCCUUUAGAAGUAGUUUUAACAUUUCGACUUUCGCAAAUAACAUGCGGCUAUCGCUAAGGAAAAUAUUUUUUUCAUAAUCGGCUAAUUCUUUUGGAAAACUCUUUACCGAUAUCUUAAAUGAGAUUAGCAUAGGAAUCUUCACAUUUUUCUUUAAACUAUAACAAAAGACAAAUAAAUAGAUUUUCAGUUUUAACUUAAUCGAGAAAGAUAUCAAAUUUUCAGAUUUUUCCAAAAGAGUUUAUUCAUUAACUUUAACUUCUCUUUUU